Molecule: non-coding RNA, 1674 nt
Organism: Paramuricea clavata
Lineage: Eukaryota; Metazoa; Cnidaria; Anthozoa; Malacalcyonacea; Plexauridae
Source: the annotation of a GenBank genome assembly
GUGUGGAUAGGGAAAAGGUGCGUCGAGACAGGAUCACUAGUGUGGAGCAACAGAGAUUACUGACGAGACAAGGAAAGAAACGAACGUCCUCCAGCAGUUCAGAUAGUUCUGAUUCUGAGGAUCAGAAACCAAAGGCGAGAAAGAGACAUAGAGUUAUCCCUAAAGCUUACAUGAUGUAAACUUCUUAUGAGGUAUGUAGCACGUAGUUCUACAGAAUAAAGACCCAUAGGGCGCUUCCAUUAACACUGCCAUACCGGUCAGAACGGUCAAAUAGAAUUUACCGAUUAUUCUCUUUUACCCAAUGGCCUCGUUUUCAUGUCAAAUACUUACUCAUGUUUUAUGCUUAGUAGGGUUGAAAAUUACUUUGUUAUUGAGCCUAAGAACAGCAAGAAACAAAUUCGUCCAGGAAAACAUAGGAAUAUAAUCUUUAUCUGCCCCUGACAUGCUAAAAUAAGUUAACAUGGAAACGAGGCCAUUGGGUAAAAGAGAAUAAUCGGUAAGGUAUAUUGUUGAAUGAAACACAAAACGUUUGGGCUUUGGAUCUGACUGGAACAUUUUGAUAACAUUACAAUGAGGUCCAUUUUCGCUAGAUAUUUGAGAAACAUAGACCAGAUCUUUCCAUUGAUACAGAGACAACUAGAGGGCACUCAGAGACUGCAUACCUCCGCCCCCAUUGAAUUUCGGUCGCGUGAAAUGCAACUAAGACAAUAGAUAAUGAAGACUGAAGCUUAAUGAGGUUUAUCAUCUCAUUAUUGUCUUAGUACUGCGUGCAUACAUUAUACACGUCCUAAUUACGCAUUCAGUGAGUUUUUUUUAAUUGACCGGGAAAAGCAAGACAAAAUUUUGUUCAUUUCUCGUUCAAUUUUUAACCAAAUUCAACCAAAUUUUAACCAGUUCUUCCUUAGCCGAUGGGAAAUGCAUUCAAAAAAUUUCGUAUGAAUAUGUUUGGUAUUUCUUGAGUUAUCGUGCUCACAGACAAACACACACACAUACACACACACACACACACACACAUACAUACAAACCCAGAACAUACACACACACACAUACACACACACACACACACAUACAUACAAACCCGGAACAUACACACACACACAUACAAACUCAGAUGAUUACACAACCUCCUGGCGGAGGUAAAAAUUCGGGUCUGACCGGUCAGGCCAUUAAAUGGAAAGCGCCCUUACUCUCUAUUCUGUGACCACAGGUUCAAUUCCUGCCAGAAGGUUUAUAGUUGCAUUUUUCGCAACAGCUCCUGGUUAUGUCUACUAAAUGUAUAAAAUUCACACUCGCAAUGUCGUUUCAACUGUAGAAAGGUUUGAUUUCUAAUGUUCCCUGCUUGCUUUCCUAUUAUCGACAGGACUUUGGCGAGCUUCGUUAUAAAUUGACGUAAUCAUGGCAUUCCCAAUAUGGCGACUGAAGUUGACAAAAGUGAACACGACGAAUAUAUGGCGUCUGGCGGUAAACAGCCGGAUAAACUGGUAACCAUUAAAUGAUGGCUAAACUUUUAGACGAAAAUGGCGAUUUUUAUUUUGUCUUUGUUAUGUAUACUAGUAAAAACAUCUCACACAUUCAUUGAUUCUUGUUAGCAUUAACAAUAGCUAGAAAUGUUGUUCACUUUGAGUUCUUUUUUAUGCUUUUUUUCUAUUAAAUGAUACUUGGUAUUCUGCUGAU